GGCUGGUCUGAAGGUAGUGGAUUAUCUCAAUGGAUUGUUCAGUCAGUUACAGAUGGAAGUCCUUGUUCCCCUAUUCCCCUGCUUCUCACCACUGCACUAGACUAGUCUUAA
Callithrix jacchus (white-tufted-ear marmoset) is the source of this 111-nucleotide Y RNA. It matches the Rfam family "Y RNA". From Rfam's summary of the family: Y RNAs are components of the Ro ribonucleoprotein particle (Ro RNP), in association with Ro60 and La proteins. The Y RNAs and Ro60 and La proteins are well conserved, but the function of the Ro RNP is not known. NCBI's taxonomy places the organism in Eukaryota, Metazoa, Chordata, Mammalia, Primates, Cebidae. The record is from Ensembl.